This 69-nucleotide transfer RNA is filed under the name Durgades nigropicta. RNAcentral describes it as "tRNA-His". The record is from RNAcentral. Lineage: Eukaryota; Metazoa; Arthropoda; Insecta; Hemiptera; Cicadellidae.
ACUUAAGUAUUUUAUAAAAAUAAAGAUUUGUGAUAUCUUAGAUGCAUAAUAUUAAUUACGCCUUAAGUU